Long non-coding RNA from Vespa mandarinia (Asian giant hornet), 1217 nucleotides. NCBI's taxonomy places the organism in Eukaryota, Metazoa, Arthropoda, Insecta, Hymenoptera, Vespidae. The record is from RefSeq and is a predicted model, not a curated record.
CUCUCUCUCUCUCUCUCUCUCUCUCUCUCUCUCUCUUUAUCAAUUAACUACAGCAAAACAGGCAAAGGAAGUAAUUGAGAAACAGGUCGCGUUGAAACAUUCGCAAUUUAUUCGGAUUACAAAUGAAUACAACUUAGUGCUAUUAACGUUUCUCAUUAUCGUUUAUAUAUUUCUGUGAAUUGAUACGGAAAAAAAAAAGAAAAGAAAAAAAAAAUGUAGAUUUUCUAAAGAGAAAGAGAGAAAGAGAGAAAGGGGAAAUAAAGAUAAACGACGUCGUUACUCGUGACCAUCGAAUGUUCACUAAUUCGACUUAUCCGAUCGCUUAAUCGUACGAGGAUAUUCAAAAUACAAGCUACUAACUAUCCUAAAUGCCAGAGGAAAACUCGAUAAUUUGAACAACAACAUCGAAAGUCCGAGUUGAUGUGCGAGGUCGACCCUCGUUGGUACGAGCGAAUGAGAACGUUCCACCUCGAUUGGAAGAUCCUUGAGUCCCGAGAUCGGAUUAUUACAUAACGUUCGAAAUUCUCAAAGAGAAAAAGAUUAUAAAAAGAAUGAACGAGAAUAACGAUUACGAUACUACGACGUAGAGGGAUAGAUAAAUCUUGAGGAUGAAUAAUAAUCGUAAAAAAAAAAAAAAGAAAAAAAAAAUGUUUGCGAACGAUAAAACCCAGAUAGAAAUUAUUUUCCGAACGAUUGUUUAUUUAAAUAGAAUUGUUAUUCUAAAUUAUGAGAGAGAAAUGAUGGGGAGUAUCCGAUAAGUCUAUGAGCGUUAGUAUUGGGAAAUAAAAUAAAAUAAAUUUUCUUUUAUUACGCAUAGCUCCGAUAGUUUUAUUUUCAUCCGGCGCCAUCCUAAGGUCGCACGAAAAUAAUUUCGCGUGUCCUUCGAAAUUUAUCUUUCGUCGAGUCGUACAAAGCCGUUACUUUUCGCCGUUGCAAAUAUUAUUCUAAGUCACGAUGGGGAUUAAAUGAUAUAUUUUGUCACUUUUUCUUCGGCGAGGAGAGAACACAAAGGAGAUAGAAAAAAAAAAAAAGAAAAAACAAGGACGAAAAAAAAGGAAAAAAAAAAAAGUGAAAAGAAACAUUUACAAAUAAACGAUAACAAAAGUUAUCGUUUGUUAUCACUUGUGAUGCUUUUUUAACGUAGCGCGAUGAGUAUAAAGAGAACGCGUGUGAAAAAAAAAAAAGAAAAAAAAGAAAAAAAGAAAAAGGAAAAGAAA